AAAUAAGAAAUAAAGUAUUAUAUUUAGUUUCGGCCUAAAAUUUUGGAUUUAGGUAUCCCUUAUUUU
RNAcentral lists this transfer RNA (66 nucleotides) under Staphylinidae sp. 1 EF-2015. RNAcentral describes it as "tRNA-Arg". The record is from RNAcentral. Lineage: Eukaryota; Metazoa; Arthropoda; Insecta; Coleoptera; Staphylinidae.